Molecule: transfer RNA, 67 nt
Filed under: Corythucha marmorata
Lineage: Eukaryota; Metazoa; Arthropoda; Insecta; Hemiptera; Tingidae
Description: tRNA-Phe
Source: RNAcentral
ACUUAAAUAGCUUAAAUAUCAAAGCUUAAUAUUGAAGAUAUUAUGAUAAGUUUAUACUUUUUGAGUA